RNAcentral lists this long non-coding RNA (1209 nucleotides) under Oryctolagus cuniculus (rabbit). RNAcentral's name for it is "lncRNA (ENSOCUG00000036043.1)". Lineage: Eukaryota; Metazoa; Chordata; Mammalia; Lagomorpha; Leporidae. The record is from RNAcentral.
AUGUCGGGGUCCGCAUUCGCCUUUGGGGCGGGGUCCCCUGCUCUGGGAGGUGUCGGGGGCGCAGGCUGCAGCCGGGGCCUGGGAAUCCGGGGCUUUAGGACGGGACUCUCGCCCCCGGCAGCCGUCGGGGCCUGGUGGGCAGCGUUCCCUUCAGAGCCAGCACGGAGGCCAUGCUGCAUCCACACCCAGGUCCCGCAGAUGUGGGGAGGAGGUCAGGGUCAGGGCUGCAGGGGCGGGGCCAGGUGGGGUGCAGGCCGUUCCCGCCCGUCCUCCCACCCCCGCCCACCCUCUCCCGCCCACACCCCAACGCCCCAAACAGUGGUCCCUUGGGGCUCCUUGCCCCUGGUGGGGACAGUCCUGGACCCUGAGCUGGGGAGGGUGCCCACAGGCAGGACACCUGCUGGAGUCCCUGCAGCUGGCAGAGGGAUGGCAGGGAAGCUCUGCUGCGGGUCACGCAGCCAUGAGGGUGGGUGUUCAGGUCCCUGGAACCAGGCGUCCUUCCCUGUGCGUGGACACUGCCAGAGGCUGACCUCAUGCCCUUCUGCUUCAGGGGGACACGCGCUCCGCUCUCCUCUCCCCUCCCCGGCCUGCAAGGCUCCCGGGAGCCCGGGGUCCUGGUCCCUCCUGUGGCCCAGGCACAGGGGAGCCCAAGGGGGGAGUUCUGGGGCUGCCUGUCCCCUGCCCACUGCUGGCUCUGCGGGGCUCGCCCCGCCCUGGAGAAGGCGAGGGGCCCCUCCCCGGAGCACGCGAGGAAGCCGGGCAGGGCCCCGCUGCUGUCACAUGGUCCCUGACAGAGCCUUUGGGACCAGAACCCCCUCCAUGGGGCCCCGCGGUGCCCCAGGUCCCUCUGCACCACGGCCUUUCAUCCAGGGGCCCUGCUGGGCACUGCCACCUGCUAGCGGUGUGGACGUGGGUGCCCGAGCCCAACCCUGGUCGCAGGCUCGCUGGGGGCUCCUGGUGAGCAGGCUCGCAGGGCUGUGUGGGCUGACUCGCUCCUGCCCCCGGACACGGCCCUGCGCCCUCAGCCGGGGCCUCGCCCGCGUUCCAGCUCGCUCUGCCCCCCUUCCAGGGGGCACACAGGCCAGCUCCCUCCUCUCUGCACACGCCAGCCUCCCUCCUCUGCACACACCAGUCUCUUACAGCAACCGUGUAACUCUGUGUCGUUUUAAGGUUGAUGUUUGUAUAAAGGAAGACAGAACUUCAAACUAG